RNAcentral lists this ribosomal RNA (209 nucleotides) under uncultured Glomeromycotina. RNAcentral's name for it is "partial small subunit ribosomal RNA". It matches the Rfam family "Eukaryotic small subunit ribosomal RNA", at positions 569 to 786 of the family's 1831-position model. The record is from RNAcentral. Lineage: Eukaryota; Fungi; Glomeromycota.
AGCAGCCGCGGUAAUUCCAGCUCCAAUAGCGUAUAUUAAAGUUGUUGCAGUUAAAAGCUGUAGUUGAAUUUCGAGACCGGUUUACUGGUCGUGCUUUUGUACGUACUGGUAUAAUCGGUUCUCUCUUCUGACGAACUAUAAUGCCAUUAAUUUGGUGUUUUAGGGAAUCAGGACUGUACUUUGAAAAAAUUGAGUGUUUAAAGCAGGCU